GCAUUUUAUAACUUUAUCUUUUUAAAAAGUCUUUAACACAUUAGUUAGAUUUCUUCUACAUAAGUCAAAGAGAAUAUUAAGCAAGCAUUAUGAUUAUUAUUCUUUUCCUGGAAAUCUAGUCCUAUGUAUUACUCUUAAUUCACUGGUGGCUGGUUACUUAACAGGAUUCAGGAACUUUUCUAACUAGCUAUUCCCAAUUUAAUACACACCUGCCAUACAACUGACUAAUUAUCAAAUAUUUCUUCCUUUUCUAUUCUGGAAAAAGAAUCCUACUAUCACUAAAAUAGAUGGUAUGAACAUUUCUGGUGGCUUUAGAGAAACUGGUUGUUCAGAAAUGGAAAGGAAGAAGUGGGAAAAAAACUUAAAACCUUUGAAAGACUUGAUCAUAGCUAAUCUGAUAGAGUUUCCUGCCCUCAAAUGAUUUCCUUCACAGCAUCUAUGUUUUCUGUUUUUUGGCGGGGGUAUACUGCUUAAAGCACUGCCAGAUUGCCACUGUACUUUUGUACAUUUCUUUAAGAAAAAUGUUGAUAAUAUAAGAUCAUUAAAAGAUUAUCAACUCUACCAAGUGGUGUGGAUCCAUCCAACUGCUUAAGAAACUCCUGACUAAACAGUAGAAGAGUAUUUAUGGAGGAGAGAGAAUCUAAAUAGUUUUGCAGCUUAAAGUACAUCUAAAAUUAGAAGAGAAUCAAGGUGAAUUCAUUGUCAGGGACCAGAUA
Molecule: long non-coding RNA, 716 nt
Filed under: Bos taurus (domestic cattle)
Lineage: Eukaryota; Metazoa; Chordata; Mammalia; Artiodactyla; Bovidae
Description: long non-coding RNA NONBTAT019451
Source: RNAcentral